Long non-coding RNA from Quercus lobata, 405 nucleotides. RefSeq lists it as uncharacterized. The record is from RefSeq and is a predicted model, not a curated record. The transcript is spliced from 2 exons. NCBI's taxonomy places the organism in Eukaryota, Viridiplantae, Streptophyta, Magnoliopsida, Fagales, Fagaceae.
UCAACACAGUUAUUCUUGUGCACCUGAGAGGUCAUUCUUGUAUCAUGGCCGUAUGUAUGUCUCUGCGUGACACAUUUGCUUCCAUUCAAAUAUUUUUUCUAAGCAAAUGAAGGAGGAGCUCUGAUCCUAAAUCACCCAUUCACUUUCAACGUAGUCAUCUCACAUAUAAAGGUGCAAGAAGAACAUCAGAUGGCCUUUUAUGUUUCUUUACAUUAGAAAGCUGCUGGUUUAGUUAAAUUUAUGAGUGAAUGGCUUCUUUUGUAGAUUACUGAAAUAGGCUGGAGUCAUCCACAAGGUCUUAUUAUGAGCUUUUUUAAGUUAUUGGUGUUUGAGGAUUUUUUGUGUACAAAGAAAUACAUUUGAACAACCGCAUUUUUUGCCAUUGUUGGAGGAUAUUUUUAAACA